This 212-nucleotide long non-coding RNA is filed under the name Nicotiana benthamiana. RNAcentral's name for it is "long non-coding RNA (NBEN_LNC029134)". Lineage: Eukaryota; Viridiplantae; Streptophyta; Magnoliopsida; Solanales; Solanaceae. The record is from RNAcentral.
AUGGUAUAGAAACCCUAUAUUUAUAGGGAGGUGGUGACUUAGCCACCAAGUAGUAAACCCUAGAAUCUCGCUAAAUAUAGACAUUCACCUUAAAUAGAGUUCUAUUUAUAACACUCCCCCUUCAAUGUCUAUUCAACAAUGUGCCUCGUUAAAACCUUAAAACCAAAACCCAAUGGGAAAAAUUAAAGAGAAGGAAAAAGAGUACACAUGUU